GACGCUACGGCGUCGAAGCAGUCGAUGUCAUACUUCCAAGAAAAGCUUGCACUGUCAUAAACAAAGAAUGCCUGUACCAUAACCGACACAGGUGGGUAGGUAGAGUAUACUAAGGGGCGCGAGAUAACUCUCUCUAAGGAACUCGGCAAAAUGACUCCGUAACUUCGGGAGAAGGAGUGCCUUAUUUAUAAGGUUGCAAUAACAAGAUCCAAGCAACUGUUUACCAAAAACACAGGUCUCCGCUAAGUCGUAAGACGAUGUAUGGGGGCUGACGCCUGCCCAGUGCCAGAAGGUUAAAGAAGUUGGUUAGCAUUUGCGAAGCUGAUAACUGAAGCCCUGGUGAACGGCGGCCGUAACAAUAACGGUCCUAAGGUAGCGAAAUUCCUUGUCGGGUAAGUUCCGACCCGCACGAAAGGCGUAAUGAUUUGGAUACUGUCUCAGAGAGGGGCUCGGUGAAAUAGACUUGUCUGUGAAGAUGCGGACUACCUGCACCAGGACAGAAAGACCCUAUGAAGCUUUACUGUAACCUGAAAUUGAAAUUGGACUUUAUUUGCGCAGUAUAGGUGGGAGGCGUUGAGAAUUUUCUUGCGGGAAGAUUGGAGCCAUCAGUGAGAUACCACUCUUGUAAUGUUAGAUUUCUAACUUUGAAUCAUGAUCUGGUCAAAGAACAGUUUCAGGCGGGCAGUUUGACUGGGGCGGUCGCCUCCCAAAUGGUAACGGAGGCGCACAAAGGUUUCCUCUGAACGGGUAGAAAUCGUAUCUAGAGUGUAAAGGCAUAAGGAAGCUUGACUGUGAGACCUACAAGUCGAGCAGGGACGAAAGUCGGUCUUAGUGAUCUGACGGUGCUGAGUGGAAAGGCCGUCACUCAACGGAUAAAAGUUACUCUAGGAUAACAGGCUGAUCUCCCCCAAGAGUUCACAUCGACGGGGAGGUUUGGCACCUCGAUGUCGGCUCAUCGCAUCCUGGGGCGGUAGUACGUCCCAAGGGUUGGGCUGUUCGCCCAUGAAAGCGGUACGCGAGCUGGGUUCAGAACGUCGUGAGACAGUUCGGUCCAUAUCCGGUGUAGGCGUUAGAAUAUUGAGAGGAGCCUUCUUUAGUACGAGAGGACCGAGAAGGACAUACCUCUGGUGUACCAGUUAUCGUGCCAACGGUAAACGCUGGGUAGCUAUGUAUGGAGAGGAUAACCGCUGAAAGCAUCUAAGUGGGAAGCCCACCUCAAGAUAAGUAUUCU
Molecule: ribosomal RNA, 1231 nt
Filed under: metagenome
Description: bacterial LSU rRNA
Rfam family: Bacterial large subunit ribosomal RNA
Source: RNAcentral